Molecule: long non-coding RNA, 1123 nt
Filed under: Sarcophilus harrisii (Tasmanian devil)
Lineage: Eukaryota; Metazoa; Chordata; Mammalia; Dasyuromorphia; Dasyuridae
Description: lncRNA (ENSSHAG00000023690.1)
Source: RNAcentral
UCGGACCCAGGCGGGGGUCCCCGGGGAGGGGGAAUGGCGCCCGGGAAAGCGGCAGAAGCGCGCCGGGGGCCGGGGGGGGCCGGGGGGGCCGGGGGCCCUCCCCCGGGACAGCGAGACUUGUCCGUCCCGGGUCCCCAGCGGAAGCCCGCGAGGCAGAUCCUGCGGUCAUCUGUGGCCCCAUCGGAGCGAUGGGAAACUUGAAGCUCCGAGGCGCGAAGGGACUUCCCCAAGCUUUCCUGGCCGACAAGUUGCGGCCCGACCAGGCUGCCCCCGCCUCGCCGCGCCCCAUCACCCCGAUCUCCCGGCUCGCUCGCUCGCUUUCCCAAAGCUGCCGUCACCUGGAGCUCGGGAACCUCCACGGGGCCCCGCAGAGUGGUGGGAGCGCGGCCGCCCGCUGUCCUUGGGAAGCCGGGGCUGGGAGGCGGGGGGCGGGGGGCGCCGGGGCAGGAGCCGGGCGGCCGGGGCUCCGCGGCUCGGCGUUCGGACGCCUCCCGGCCCUCUCCAGGGCUCCCCUUUGGCCCCAAACCGCUGACUUCAGCCCCGCGGCCGCGAGGACGCCCAGAGGGUUAGAGGCGGGACACCCCGGCCAGACAGCCACAGAGGCGGCGGCGGCAGCCACAGGGAGCUCGGGCUCUCGGGCCCCUCGCGCUGGGGACGGGACCCACGGCCAAGGGCGCCCCGCCGCUGGCCGCGAGGAGCGGUCACGGAAGCCGGGGCGGGGAAGGUAGGAGAGCAGCGGAAAGCCGCGCGGGCCGGGGGCACAGGGAGGCCCAGGGAGACCCCGGCGGCCCCUGCGCGGCAGCUUCCCGGCUCGCGCCCCGAGGGGCCCAGGACAGCGGGGCGCUGAGCGGAGGGCAUCUGCCAGCAGAGAGCCGAGCCCCGCAGCCCGCGCUCGGCGCCCCGAAAGCCGCUUCCCCGCUUCGCUCCGGAGUCCCGGCGGCCGCCGAGGCAGCUGCGCAGCGCGACCAUCCAGCCGGGAGCAAGCCCCGGAGCAGCCGCUGGCCAGGUGCGGGCGCCGGGCUCCGGGGGCACCUGCCCGAGGGGCGCACGGGCCCGGGGGGAGGGGGACACCAAUGGGGCUCGCCAGGGGCCCUCGGGCGAAGUGUCUGCCUCGCGGCCCCCG